CGGCGGGCGGGUGAGUAACACGUGAGUAACCUGCCUUAGACAUAGGGAUAGCCUCGGGAAACCGGGAUUAAUACCAAAUGAAAUCACAUAUGCACAUGCAUAAAUGAUCAAAGCUCCGGCGGUCUAAGAUGGACUCGCGUCCCAUUAGCUAGUUGGUGAGGUAACGGCCCACCAAGGCGACGAUGGGUAGCCGGCCUGAGAGGGUGAACGGCCACAUUGGAACUGAGAAACGGUCCAAACUCCUACGGGAGGCAGCAGCA
Molecule: ribosomal RNA, 260 nt
Filed under: uncultured Peptoniphilus sp.
Lineage: Bacteria; Bacillati; Bacillota; Tissierellia; Tissierellales; Peptoniphilaceae
Description: partial 16S ribosomal RNA
Rfam family: Bacterial small subunit ribosomal RNA
Source: RNAcentral